GUGCCCACUUCGGCAGCACAUACACUAAAAUUGGAAUGACACAGAGAGGAUCAGCAUGACCCCUGUGCAAAGAUGGCAUGCAAAUUUGUGAAGCGUCCCAUAUUUUU
Small nuclear RNA from Rhinolophus ferrumequinum (greater horseshoe bat), 107 nucleotides. NCBI's taxonomy places the organism in Eukaryota, Metazoa, Chordata, Mammalia, Chiroptera, Rhinolophidae. The record is from Ensembl.